GACGAACGCUGGCGGCGUGCUUAACACAUGCAAGUCGAACGAUGAAGCUGGAGCUUGCUCCGGUGGAUUAGUGGCAAACGGGUGAGUAACACGUGAGCAAUCUGCCCUUGACUCUGGAAUAACUGCGGGAAACUGUAGCUAAUACCGGAUAUGAGGCUCGAAGGCAUCUUCGGGUCUGGAAAGAAUUUCGGUCAAGGAUGAGCUCGCGGCCUAUCAGCUUGUUGGUGAGGUAAUGGCUCACCAAGGCGACGACGGGUAGCCGGCCUGAGAGGGUGACCGGCCACACGGGGACUGAGACACGGCCCAGACUCCUACGGGAGGCAGCAGUGGGGAAUAUUGCACAAUGGGCGGAAGCCUGAUGCAGCGACGCCGCGUGAGGGAUGAAGGCCUUCGGGUUGUAAACCUCUUUUAGCAGGGAAGAAGCGAAAGUGACGGUACCUGCAGAAAAAGCACCGGCUAACUACGUGCCAGCCGCCGCGGUAA
Molecule: ribosomal RNA, 483 nt
Filed under: uncultured bacterium
Lineage: Bacteria
Description: partial 16S ribosomal RNA
Rfam family: Bacterial small subunit ribosomal RNA
Source: RNAcentral